RNAcentral lists this long non-coding RNA (546 nucleotides) under Phoenix dactylifera (date palm). Its description in RNAcentral is "long non-coding RNA (PDAC_LNC021651)". Lineage: Eukaryota; Viridiplantae; Streptophyta; Magnoliopsida; Arecales; Arecaceae. The record is from RNAcentral.
AAGACUAAUUAAGACUUUAGCAAGAUGAUUAGUUAGUUGCUAUGUGCUGUGAGUGAGAUGAGAGUAAGAGAAAGGAACAAACAAUCACAAACACAAGGUUUUUAUAGUGGUUCGGAGCUAACCCUUGCUCCUACGUCCACUCCCCAAGUCUCACUUGGGAAUUCACUAUAACCCCCUGGAUUACAGUCGGUUGUUUUACAAGCUCACAACUAAACUUGUUGUUUUACGAGCUCACAACGAACUCGGUCGGUUUUCCCUGGCUCACCGACUAGAACCACCCCGAUCGUUUUCCCGGGAUCACAAUCGAACCCUUACACGUUGGUUUUAACCUAGGCUCACCAACCAACCUCUACACCCUUGAUUCAAUCCUCCGAUUGAACCAAGCUAAGACAAUAUGCUAAUAAUGAGGACAAACAGAAAAACAGAGCUUCACAAAAGCAAAUAUACAGCAAUAUUAAUAAAAGCAAAGUUAAGAGCCCUCAAACGCGUUUAAGUUGGAGAAGAGAAAGGGCUUCUUGAACUUCGGGUCUCCUCUUGAAAUUCUGG